GGCAGAUGUGGUCUGUGCGAGAUCACCAGGAACCAGGGUCAACGUGGCAGACGUCAGACCACCAGGAGCUGCCUCUGCAAGUGUGGCCGGACCACCGGCGGUCGGUGCAGAUGGAUCUCCGCAGGAACCUCCGGCACCCCCCGGAACGUCUCCUGCGCACAAAGGAGCAACAACAAAAGUCUCUGCAGGACCACUAGGAACUGCAGCAGGAACGACCUCCUCCUGGAGGCCGACAGGAACUGCAGCGGAAGCUGCAACAGGAACGACCCCCUCCCGGAGGCCGACGGGGACCCCAGCGGAAACGACAACAGGCGUGACCUCCUCCUGGAGGUCGGCGGGAAUCGCAGCAGACACUGCGACAAGCGCAACCUCCUCACUGGAGCCGGCAGUGCUGCUUGCAGCUGCCGAGCCCGGCUGGACUGGAUCCUGAACGUGACAAGGCUGGACUGGACUCUGAGCGUGACAAGGCUGAGCUGGAACCUGAGCGUGACAAGGCUGAGCUGGACCCUGAGCAGAGCACGACUGUACUGGGGCUGGAGCCUGAACGGAGCACGGCUGGGCUGGAAACUGAGCAGAGCACGGCUGGGCUGGAAACUGAGCAGAGCACGGCUGGGCUGGAAACUGAGCAGAGCACGGCUGGGCUGGAAACUGAGCAGAGCACGACUGAACUGGGGCUGGAAACUGAGCAGAGCACGACUGAACUGGGGCUGGAAACUGAGCAGAGCACGGCUGGGCUGGAAACUGAGCAGAGCCCGGCUGGACUGGAACCUGAGCGGGACACGGCUGGGCUGGAACCUGAGCGGGACACGGCUGGGCUGGAACCUGAGCGAGACACGACUGGGCUGGAACCUGAGCGGAACCCGACUGGACUGGAACCUGAGACAAACCCGACUGGACGGGAACCUGAGCGGGACACGACUGGACUGGAACCUGAGCCGAACCCGACUAGACUGGAGCGGAACAUGUCGGAGCAUCGGAGAUGCGACCAGGGCUAGCGUAAUCCGAGCGGACGGCGUGGGGGCUGGUGUGGUGCUGAGCGCGCUGUCUAACUCUCCGAGCUGCGCACACAUCCGCUCGUAG
Betta splendens (Siamese fighting fish) is the source of this 1080-nucleotide long non-coding RNA. NCBI's taxonomy places the organism in Eukaryota, Metazoa, Chordata, Actinopteri, Anabantiformes, Osphronemidae. The record is from Ensembl.